RNAcentral lists this ribosomal RNA (462 nucleotides) under uncultured bacterium. RNAcentral describes it as "bacterial SSU rRNA". It matches the Rfam family "Bacterial small subunit ribosomal RNA", at positions 335 to 790 of the family's 1533-position model. The record is from RNAcentral.
ACUCCUACGGGAGGCAGCAGUCGGGAAUCUUCCACAAUGGGCGCAAGCCUGAUGGAGCAACACCGCGUGAGUGAAGAAGGGUUUCGGCUCGUAAAGCUCUGUUGUUAAAGAAGAACACGUAUGAGAGUAACUGUUCAUACGUUGACGGUAUUUAACCAGAAAGUCACGGCUAACUACGUGCCAGCAGCCGCGGUAAUACGUAGGUGGCAAGCGUUAUCCGGAUUUAUUGGGCGUAAAGAGAGUGCAGGCGGUUUUCUAAGUCUGAUGUGAAAGCCUUCGGCUUAACCGGAGAAGUGCAUCGGAAACUGGAUAACCUGAGUGCAGAAGAGGUAGUGGAACUCCAUGUGUAGCGGUGGAAUGCGUAGAUAUAUGGAAGAACACCAGUGGCGAAGGCGGCUACCUGGUCUGCAACUGACGCUGAGACUCGAAAGCAUGGGUAGCGAACAGGAUUAGAUACCCCGU